GACGAACGCUGGCGGCGUGCUUAACACAUGCAAGUCGAACGGAAAAGCCCUGCUUGCAGGGUACUCGAGUGGCGAACGGGUGAGUAACACGUGGGUGAUCUGCCCUGCACUUCGGGAUAAGCUUGGGAAACUGGGUCUAAUACCGGAUAGGACCGCACUUUAGUGUGUGUGGUGGAAAGUUUUUUCGGUGUAGGAUGAGCUCGCGGCCUAUCAGCUUGUUGGUGGGGUAAUGGCCUACCAAGGCGGCGACGGGUAGCCGGCCUGAGAGGGUGUACGGCCACAUUGGGACUGAGAUACGGCCCAGACUCCUACGGGAGGCAGCAGUGGGGAAUAUUGCACAAUGGGCGCAAGCCUGAUGCAGCGACGCCGCGUGUGGGAUGAAGGCCUUCGGGUUGUAAACUCCUUUCGCUAGGGACGAAGCUUUUUGUGACGGUACCUAGAUAAGAAGCACCGGCUAACUACGUG
Molecule: ribosomal RNA, 465 nt
Filed under: uncultured bacterium
Lineage: Bacteria
Description: partial 16S ribosomal RNA
Rfam family: Bacterial small subunit ribosomal RNA
Source: RNAcentral